AGCUAAUACAGCUUGAUAAUGAGGGAGCCAGAUCCACUGCCAGUGCUAAUGUUAUAUGAUAAACAGACAUUUGGAGAAAUAUGCAGAACAUCUUGGCAGUUUUCCGUUAACUCUAAGGGUUGUAAAUACUAAGUAGAAUGUGUUAUCAUGAGCCAUUUCAAAGGAAGUUGACUUUAUUUUUUUUUUAGAAUUUCUGACUUUUAUUCUAAAAAGGUAACUUUGUCUCUUGAUUCUCAUUUUUUCCCUAACUUAGGCAAGUGGAAGCUGUUCCCAACGGUAUCCAAGCCCUUGCCGAAUACAUCUUGUUCUCCACACGUCCAGUGUGAGGUAAGUUUUACUAAUUGCCACAGGUUCUUAUGCUGAUCUCCA
Molecule: long non-coding RNA, 369 nt
Filed under: Marmota monax (woodchuck)
Lineage: Eukaryota; Metazoa; Chordata; Mammalia; Rodentia; Sciuridae
Source: RNAcentral